This 2902-nucleotide ribosomal RNA is filed under the name Enterobacter cloacae. RNAcentral describes it as "23S ribosomal RNA". It matches the Rfam family "Bacterial large subunit ribosomal RNA". Lineage: Bacteria; Pseudomonadati; Pseudomonadota; Gammaproteobacteria; Enterobacterales; Enterobacteriaceae. The record is from RNAcentral.
UUAAGCGACUAAGCGUACACGGUGGAUGCCCUGGCAGUCAGAGGCGAUGAAGGACGUGCUAAUCUGCGAAAAGCGCCGGCGAGGUGAUAUGAACCCUUGACCCGGCGAUGUCCGAAUGGGGAAACCCAGUGCAAUCCGUUGCACUAUCGUUAACUGAAUACAUAGGUUAACGAGGCGAACCGGGGGAACUGAAACAUCUAAGUACCCCGAGGAAAAGAAAUCAACCGAGAUUCCCCCAGUAGCGGCGAGCGAACGGGGAGCAGCCCGGAGUCUGAAUCAGCUUGUGUGUUAGUGGAACGGUCUGGAAAGUCCGACGGUACAGGGUGAUAGUCCCGUACACGAAAGCACACAUGCUGUGAACUCGAAGAGUAGGGCGGGACACGUGGUAUCCUGUCUGAAUAUGGGGGGACCAUCCUCCAAGGCUAAAUACUCCUGACUGACCGAUAGUGAACCAGUACCGUGAGGGAAAGGCGAAAAGAACCCCGGCGAGGGGAGUGAAAAAGAACCUGAAACCGUGUACGUACAAGCAGUGGGAGCCUCUUUAUGGGGUGACUGCGUACCUUUUGUAUAAUGGGUCAGCGACUUAUAUUCUGUAGCAAGGUUAACCGUAUAGGGGAGCCGAAGGGAAACCGAGUCUUAACUGGGCGUUAAGUUGCAGGGUAUAGACCCGAAACCCGGUGAUCUAGCCAUGGGCAGGUUGAAGGUUGGGUAACACUAACUGGAGGACCGAACCGACUAAUGUUGAAAAAUUAGCGGAUGACCUGUGGCUGGGGGUGAAAGGCCAAUCAAACCGGGAGAUAGCUGGUUCUCCCCGAAAGCUAUUUAGGUAGCACCUCGUGAACUCAUCUUCGGGGGUAGAGCACUGUUUCGGCUAGGGGGCCAUCCCGGCUUACCAACCCGAUGCAAACUACGAAUACCGAAGAAUGUUAUCACGGGAGACACACGGCGGGUGCUAACGUCCGUCGUGAAGAGGGAAACAACCCAGACCGCCAGCUAAGGUCCCAAAGUCAUGGUUAAGUGGGAAACGAUGUGGGAAGGCACAGACAGCCAGGAUGUUGGCUUAGAAGCAGCCAUCAUUUAAAGAAAGCGUAAUAGCUCACUGGUCGAGUCGGCCUGCGCGGAAGAUGUAACGGGGCUAAACCAUGCACCGAAGCUGCGGCAGCGACACUAUGUGUUGUUGGGUAGGGGAGCGUUCUGUAAGCCGUUGAAGGUGUGCUGUGAGGCAUGCUGGAGGUAUCAGAAGUGCGAAUGCUGACAUAAGUAACGAUAAAGCGGGUGAAAAGCCCGCUCGCCGGAAGACCAAGGGUUCCUGUCCAACGUUAAUCGGGGCAGGGUGAGUCGACCCCUAAGGCGAGGCCGAAAGGCGUAGUCGAUGGGAAACAGGUUAAUAUUCCUGUACUUGGUGUUACUGCGAAGGGGGGACGGAGAAGGCUAUGUCAGCCGGGCGACGGUUGUCCCGGUUUAAGCAUGUAGGCGGAGGUUCCAGGUAAAUCCGGUACCUUGUUAACGCUGAGGUGUGAUGACGAGGCACUACGGUGCUGAAGUGAUAAAUGCCCUGCUUCCAGGAAAAGCCUCUAAGCAUCAGGUAACACGAAAUCGUACCCCAAACCGACACAGGUGGUCAGGUAGAGAAUACCAAGGCGCUUGAGAGAACUCGGGUGAAGGAACUAGGCAAAAUGGUGCCGUAACUUCGGGAGAAGGCACGCUGAUGUGUAGGUGAAGCCCCUGCGGGUGGAGCUGAAAUCAGUCGAAGAUACCAGCUGGCUGCAACUGUUUAUUAAAAACACAGCACUGUGCAAACACGAAAGUGGACGUAUACGGUGUGACGCCUGCCCGGUGCCGGAAGGUUAAUUGAUGGGGUUAGCGGCAACGCGAAGCUCUUGAUCGAAGCCCCGGUAAACGGCGGCCGUAACUAUAACGGUCCUAAGGUAGCGAAAUUCCUUGUCGGGUAAGUUCCGACCUGCACGAAUGGCGUAAUGAUGGCCAGGCUGUCUCCACCCGAGACUCAGUGAAAUUGAACUCGCUGUGAAGAUGCAGUGUACCCGCGGCAAGACGGAAAGACCCCGUGAACCUUUACUAUAGCUUGACACUGAACACUGGUCCUUGAUGUGUAGGAUAGGUGGGAGGCUUUGAAGCGUGGACGCCAGUCUGCGUGGAGCCAACCUUGAAAUACCACCCUUUAAUGGCUGGUGUUCUAACGUAGACCCGUAAUCCGGGUUGCGGACAGUGUCUGGUGGGUAGUUUGACUGGGGCGGUCUCCUCCCAAAGAGUAACGGAGGAGCACGAAGGUUGGCUAAUCCUGGUCGGACAUCAGGAGGUUAGUGCAAUGGCAUAAGCCAGCUUGACUGCGAGCGUGACGGCGCGAGCAGGUGCGAAAGCAGGUCAUAGUGAUCCGGUGGUUCUGAAUGGAAGGGCCAUCGCUCAACGGAUAAAAGGUACUCCGGGGAUAACAGGCUGAUACCGCCCAAGAGUUCAUAUCGACGGCGGUGUUUGGCACCUCGAUGUCGGCUCAUCACAUCCUGGGGCUGAAGUAGGUCCCAAGGGUAUGGCUGUUCGCCAUUUAAAGUGGUACGCGAGCUGGGUUUAGAACGUCGUGAGACAGUUCGGUCCCUAUCUGCCGUGGGCGCUGGAGAAUUGAGGGGGGCUGCUCCUAGUACGAGAGGACCGGAGUGGACGCAUCACUGGUGUUCGGGUUGUCAUGCCAAUGGCACUGCCCGGUAGCUAAAUGCGGAAGAGAUAAGUGCUGAAAGCAUCUAAGCACGAAACUUGCCCCGAGAUGAGUUCUCCCUGAGACUUUAAGUCUCCUGAAGGAACGUUGAAGACGACGACGUUGAUAGGUCGGGUGUGUAAGCGCAGCGAUGCGUUGAGCUAACCGAUACUAAUGAACCGUGAGGCUUAACCU